Long non-coding RNA from Perognathus longimembris pacificus (Pacific pocket mouse), 217 nucleotides. RefSeq lists it as uncharacterized. The record is from RefSeq and is a predicted model, not a curated record. The transcript has 3 exons. Lineage: Eukaryota; Metazoa; Chordata; Mammalia; Rodentia; Heteromyidae.
AGACUUUCUCUCAAUAAACCAACCAAGUGUGCCAUUCACACAUGUAAUCCCAGACAUUUAGGAGGUGAUGCAGGAGGAACACUAUCUGAGGCUGGCCCUGGCAAAGGUACAAGACUCUAUCAAAAACAAACUCAACUGAGAGGCUGAGCUCUGAGGACUGCAGUCUGAAAACAGACCACGCAAGAAAGUCCUUGAGAUUCUUAUCUUCAUUUAACCA